UGGGGAAUUUUGGACAAUGGGGGCAACCCUGAUCCAGCCAUUCCGCGUGAGUGAAGAAGGCCUUCGGGUUGUAAAGCUCUUUCAGCAGGAACGAAACGGUCGGCUUUAAUAAAGUCGGCUAAUGACGGUACCUGCAGAAGAAGCACCGGCUAACUACGUGCCAGCAGCCGCGGUAAUACGUAGGGUGCGAGCGUUAAUCGGAAUUACUGGGCGUAAAGCGUGCGCAGGCGGCGACAUAAGACAGAUGUGAAAUCCCCGGGCUCAACCUGGGAACUGCGUUUGUGACUGUGUUGCUAGAGUGUAGCAGAGGGGGGUGGAAUUCCACGUGUAGCAGUGAGAUGCGUAGAGAUGUGGAGGAACACCGAUGGCGAAGGCAGCCCCCUGGGUUAACACUGACGCUCAUGCACGAAAGCGUGGGGAGCAAACAGGAUUAGAUACCCCCGUAGUCCCUGAGCGGGCUGGCAAGGCGCAU
This 472-nucleotide ribosomal RNA is filed under the name uncultured bacterium. RNAcentral's name for it is "bacterial SSU rRNA". It matches the Rfam family "Bacterial small subunit ribosomal RNA", at positions 355 to 825 of the family's 1533-position model. The record is from RNAcentral.